RNAcentral lists this unclassified non-coding RNA (1994 nucleotides) under Camponotus floridanus (Florida carpenter ant). Its description in RNAcentral is "ras-related protein Rab-9A, transcript variant X1". Lineage: Eukaryota; Metazoa; Arthropoda; Insecta; Hymenoptera; Formicidae. The record is from RNAcentral.
ACAGAUGUUUGACAUCUGCGAGCGCUAUAUGUGUUAAAAAUUAAAUGUAAGGUUAAAAGACGAGUAGUAAGUCGUAUAAUGUUAAUCAAUGAAAAUGUGUUAGCAAUUUUGAAUUUUUCUCAAUCUUAACAAUCUACUCUCCAUCAUCUCCUAAUUAGAUGUCCUAAUUGUAUUCCUGGAUAUAUAACAGCGGCUGGUAUUUAUUUAUAAUCACAGAGGUAGCCAUAUUUUUGCGAGGGUCGCGCUUGCUCGACCUCCAACAUGGGCGUUCCUUUUGUCGUCUGCAAUGUGUCAAAUGAGCCGAAAAUGAUCGAAAACUGUUGGAUAAUCGAGUGAGAUAUUAAAUUCGCCGUGAAAAUCGAUGUGUCAACAAAGACGUCUCUGGGGAGAUCUAAAAAUGCAUUAUCCAUUUUGACAAACGUAUCGGAUUUCCGUUUGCUAUUUUUGCUGAUAGUGUCGCGAGAACAAAAGACAUUUCUAGUGCAAUUAAAUACAUUAGUUGAAUUAGAAACACGAAAGAAAAAAGUGCGAUUUCGUUUUAUCGAACAGUCUCUUUUUCACCGAAGCUUCGAAACUCUUAAUCCACCAGAUGAGAGAUCAAUGAGGGAUCCCACCGAUUCAGUAAAGGUUAUGCAGCGAAAUCGAGAAAAAAUAAAGACGUCAAAAGAAUUUUCUGCAUGCUAAUUAUUUGAUGUAAGCAAGAAAGAGAAAAAGGAAAACGGUUUUUUUUGCAAAUAAUAAGCGACAGAACACUUUAAUGCGUACUACAAGCUCCGAGAAACUAAAGUACAAGAUUCCUGUCCCAAAUCAGCUGAUCAGCAAAAAGAAUCUGUGAGAUUUAAUUAAGCUUUAAUGAGAGCAUUAUUUUGAAUAUACACAUAUUGAAAAUAUUUGCACAAAGCUCAGUUUGAGAUAAUUUUGUACGCGUGACAGACAAUAUUUAUUUCUCACGAAAAAGAAAAUUGUAAAAUGUCGGGGAACAAUUCAACGGCGAUGAAUACAAACAAAGGUAGUAAUCUCCAAAAUCGCAAUUCGCAGAGAUCUACCCUUCUGAAAGUAGUGAUACUUGGAGAUGGUGGUGUCGGAAAGUCUUGUCUUAUGAACAGAUUCGUAUCGAAUCAUUUUGAUGAGCAUAGUUUUCAUACUAUUGGAGUAGAAUUUCUAAAUAAAGAUAUUGAAAUCAAUGGCGAAGGGUAUACAUUACAAAUAUGGGACACUGCCGGCCAGGAAAGGUUUAAGACCCUCAGAACACCUUUCUAUAGGGGCUCGGAUAUUUGCCUUCUGACUUAUGCAGUAGACGAUAGGACGAGUUUUAGAAAUUUAGCAUUAUGGAGAUCUGAAUUUCUAAAAUAUGCAGAUGUUCAAGAAGAUUCCAGUUUUCCAUUUAUCGUUGUUGGUAAUAAGGUGGAUGUUGCCGAAUCUGAGAAGCAGGUGUCCACAGAAGAAGCUCAAGCUUGGUGUUUAGAAAAUGGCAGUCCUCCGCUAGUUGAGACAUCAGCGAAAGAUGCCACUAAUGUUGAGGCAGCAUUUGGGGCAGCGGUUGACGUAUGGGCGCGAUUAGAAGCUAGAUUAGAACGGCCUUUAAUAGAAGAUACCGUCGAUCUUUCUAAACAGCAAUCUCCGCAUCGUUCGAGCUGCUGCAUGCCUGUAUCUAGCGGCGAAUCUUCAUUUGUGAGCAGCUAAUUGAAAUUAUAGGGUUAUAGGAAGAUAAGCAUGCAGUAUGCAAUCUUUAUAUGAUGCAAAUCAAUAUUUCUGGAACAGACAUUUAAAGUUUCUUUCCAUUUGUAAGAAAUAUAUAAUGUCACAAAUUGAACUUGAAAUGAUGUUUUUACUCUCUUUAGGGUCAAUAAGAACAUUACGCAAUAUAAGUGUCUAACAAAGUAAUUUGAAGAGAAUCUCUUGCCUGUCUACAAUACUUUCUUCAUUAUAUGGUAAACUUUCUUUAUUGACAUUGGAAUUAUGUCGAUUGUAUAUGAACGACAUAUAUAAUUUCA